AUACGGAGGGUGCAAGCGUUAAUCGGAAUUACUGGGCGUAAAGCGCACGCAGGCGGUUUGUUAAGUCAGAUGUGAAAUCCCCGGGCUCAACCUGGGAACUGCAUCUGAUACUGGCAAGCUUGAGUCUCGUCGAGGGGGGUAGAAUUCCAGGGGUAGCGGUGAAAUGCGUAGAGAUCUGGAGGAAUACCGGUGGCGAAGGCGGCCCCCUGGACGAAGACUGACGCUCAGGUGCGAAAGCGUGGGGAGCAAACAGGAUUAGAUACCCUGGUAGUCCACGCCGUAAACGAUGUCGACUUGGAGGUUGUGCCCUUGAGGCGUGGCUUCCGGAGCUAACGCGUUAAGUCGACCGCCUGGGGAGUACGGCCGCAAGGUUAAAACUCAAAUGAAUUGACGGGG
This 396-nucleotide ribosomal RNA is filed under the name uncultured bacterium. RNAcentral's name for it is "partial 16S ribosomal RNA". It matches the Rfam family "Bacterial small subunit ribosomal RNA", at positions 523 to 918 of the family's 1533-position model. The record is from RNAcentral.